This is a long non-coding RNA of Nematostella vectensis (starlet sea anemone), 1239 nucleotides long. RefSeq lists it as uncharacterized. The record is from RefSeq and is a predicted model, not a curated record. The transcript is spliced from 2 exons. NCBI's taxonomy places the organism in Eukaryota, Metazoa, Cnidaria, Anthozoa, Actiniaria, Edwardsiidae.
AAUCUUGGCCAGGUUCGUUUUCUUAACCCUUAUCUUUUCGGCAGACAAAUUUCACAUCCUCCACUAACCCGCCUACCACCACACCCAACAGCUUCCGGAACAGAAGUCUACCUCCUCGAUGAAAAAAAUAUUAUUCAUCUUGAAUAAAAAUAACAUCCAACAACACUUGCCCAGCACGUUUUAUUAAACCCAGACCACCUCUCAUCUGCAUUCUGUAACAAUAGCAGACGUCAUGCUUUCAAAAUUUGAUUGAUUUAAUUGACACCCCUACUCAUUUUAGUGGUUGUGAUUGGACAAAUCGAACCAAUCUAUUUGUCCAACCGUUACACUUACACGUGACAUCUACUUUCAUUUGACAAACGGUGCAAGCAAAGGGUUAAGUAAUCCGGCAACUGAUUAGCUCCAUCAAUAAGUGGAUUGUUACACGCGGGCUUCAUUUCAACCGUCUCUCACUGGGUUUAAACAAAUUAAAUUACUCGCGUCUGUAAACAGUCAUUCAGCCUUAGAAAGAGCAAGCGACGCUUUGAGGAUUUGCUAUUUACCCCUCAACAGACCAGAAGUAGUGUGUGAUCUUUUCGCAAAGAUAUUUGAUAAUGAAUACGUCAUCCGUGCUUCUCACCCUACUUCUCGCCCAAUUCUACACGGCAUAUCUGUACCACAGCUCGACUCGAGCCUGGCGAUGUCCGAUAGAAUUGAUGAUUACCUAGCCCAGACCGCAAAGCCUUCCACAUGUUACAACUGCUUCAGACGAUGCAAGAGUCGGGCGGCCGAGGCAAGCCACUAUAAAUGUGCACGAUUUAUAAACUGGGGCUACUCAAAGUACACCGCUUGUCUCGAUAGUUAUUACAUGACAGCCAUUGAAUACUGUAUGAAGAAAUGCUAGACUGUGAAGGAGCCGGACCGGGGUCUCUUAAACCGAUAUAAUAAAAUUCGAGACAUUAAGAACAACUUGAGAUUGAGGUAAUAGACACAGUUGGGCAAUUAAUGGUUCUUACGGAUCGUCUCAUGACUUUUAUACAAACUAAUUUUAAUUAUUCAAGAAUGCAAAAAGGGAAAAUGGUUGUAAAUCUAUUAGCUAACUUAGGCGCUAUAAGAUUUUCCUUUGUACAUUGAAUCGAUGUUUUUUUCUGUUAUAUAACAACAAACAGCGUUUGUUUUUAUUAGGGACCUUGUCCUUGAUAGAGCUCACUCGACAUCUAUCAUAAGAAGUGUUUUGAAAAUGGAAGUUGUUCUGAUUUA